Molecule: long non-coding RNA, 346 nt
Filed under: Rattus norvegicus (Norway rat)
Lineage: Eukaryota; Metazoa; Chordata; Mammalia; Rodentia; Muridae
Description: long non-coding RNA NONRATT014844
Source: RNAcentral
UACAUGUUACGGCACGUUGGCAUGCUGCCUUAGGCAAAGGUGUGUUUUUGCUUGCCCCUGUCUUAGCUGAAAACAUUUUAACCAGCUGCCCGAAAAGGUGUAAACACCCCUAGUAGUGUAAUUUGCACAACAAGGUGAAGUCCAGAUGUGUUAGCUCUGGCAGGUAGGUAUAUGUGCUGUGCACCUGCGUCUGUGACCUUGAAUCAACCUGUGAACCAGAGUGCUACUAUGAGGAGGAAGUGGUGUGGUCUGGUGCAUGAUGGGACAGCUCAACAAAUUCUAACGUGAAAAAAAAAUGAAGUGUUUUUUGCCUGUGCCUCAGCUGUAUUAAAGGGUUUGGAGAACA